AUAUAAAUUCUUACAACAUAGCGUUAAUGCAUUGGAUCUCAUUAGAACUCCACAGUUAAGCGCGCUCGAUCUAGAGUAGUACUGGGAUGGGUGACUGCUCGGGAAGUAUUAGUAUUUUACAUG
Molecule: non-coding RNA, 123 nt
Organism: Picea glauca (white spruce)
Lineage: Eukaryota; Viridiplantae; Streptophyta; Pinopsida; Pinales; Pinaceae
Source: Rfam